UAACACGGGGGGAGCAAGCGUUGUUCGGAAUCACUGGGCGUAAAGGGCGUGUAGGCGGUCAAGUAAGUGGGGUGUGAAAGCCCCCGGCUCACCCGGGGAUCUGCAUUCCAAACUGCUUGGCUUGAGUACGGGAGAGGAUGAGGGAAUUCCUGGUGUAGCGGUGAAAUGCGUAGAUAUCAGGAGGAACACCGGUGGCGAAGGCGCUCAUCUGGCCCGAUACUGACGCUGAGGCGCGAAAGCUAGGGGAGCAAACGGGAUUAGAUACCCCGGUAGUCCUAGCCGUAAACGGUGAGCACUAGGUGUUGGAGGCAUCGACCCCUCCAGUGCCGCAGCUAACGCAUUAAGUGCUCCGCCUGGGGAGUACGGCCGCAAGGUUG
RNAcentral lists this ribosomal RNA (377 nucleotides) under uncultured bacterium. RNAcentral describes it as "bacterial SSU rRNA". It matches the Rfam family "Bacterial small subunit ribosomal RNA", at positions 521 to 896 of the family's 1533-position model. The record is from RNAcentral.